This 213-nucleotide unclassified non-coding RNA is filed under the name plant metagenome. RNAcentral's name for it is "partial contains small subunit ribosomal RNA, internal transcribed spacer 1, and 5.8S ribosomal RNA". The record is from RNAcentral.
UUUCCGUAGGUGAACCUGCGGAAGGAUCACUCAUAAUAAGUGUUUUAUGGCACUUUUUUAAAUCCAUAUCCACCUUGUGUGCAAUGUCAGGGUUGAUUUUUCUCUCGAGAGGAACAACCCCAAACAUCAACUAUAUCUCAACUCAUUGUCUGAAAAAUAUUAUGAAUAAAACAAUUCAAAAUACAACUUUCAACAACGGAUCUCUUGGCUCUC